RNAcentral lists this ribosomal RNA (498 nucleotides) under uncultured bacterium. Its description in RNAcentral is "partial 16S ribosomal RNA". It matches the Rfam family "Bacterial small subunit ribosomal RNA", at positions 30 to 523 of the family's 1533-position model. The record is from RNAcentral.
AUUGAACGCUGGCGGCAUGCCUUACACAUGCAAGUCGAACGGUAACAGGUCUUCGGAUGCUGACGAGUGGCGAACGGGUGAGUAAUACAUCGGAACGUGCCUAGUAGUGGGGGAUAACUACUCGAAAGAGUGGCUAAUACCGCAUGAGAUCUACGGAUGAAAGCAGGGGAUCGCAAGACCUUGUGCUACUAGAGCGGCCGAUGGCAGAUUAGGGAGUUGGUGGGAUAAAAGCUUACCAAGCCGACGAUCUGUAGCUGGUCUGAGAGGACGAUCAGCGACACUGGGACUGAGACACGGCCCAGACUCCUACGGGAGGCAGCAGUGGGGAAUUUUGGACAAUGGGCGCAAGCCUGAUCCAGCAAUGCCGCGUGCAGGAUGAAGGCCUUCGGGUUGUAAACUGCUUUUGUACGGAACGAAAAGCCCUGGGUUAAUACCCUGGGGUCAUGACGGUACCGUAAGAAUAAGCACCGGCUAACUACGUGCCAGCAGCCGCAGUAA